Long non-coding RNA from Sander lucioperca (pikeperch), 170 nucleotides. RefSeq lists it as uncharacterized. The transcript has 3 exons. Lineage: Eukaryota; Metazoa; Chordata; Actinopteri; Perciformes; Percidae. The record is from RefSeq and is a predicted model, not a curated record.
AUGCUGUUUUAAAACCAUUUAAACAAUUUUUUUCAAAUACUAUAAAAUUAAAUAAAACACCCACAAUUCAUUGGAAGUAAUUAUUAAUUUGACCUGCGAAGAACGUUGUAUGUGUUCAAAUACAACGUACAUGCACGCAUCCAAGUUAUUUGGGGCAAUAUGGUUGUGAG